Molecule: long non-coding RNA, 1879 nt
Organism: Cyprinus carpio carpio
Lineage: Eukaryota; Metazoa; Chordata; Actinopteri; Cypriniformes; Cyprinidae
Source: Ensembl
GUGUAGUUGUCACGAAGUGACUUUGAGGGCGGAACCAAAGUGAGAGGAGAAGUUCCGCCCGGACCGGAAAUGUGUAAGCCCUUGUCACUUCCGGAAACUCCGAACGCCCCAAAUCAAGUGAAAUCUGCAGCAGGUGUGUCCAAUGAUGUGGCGAUUGCAGACAGGGCAUUUGUGAGUAUAAAGAGGGCAUCGAGGAUACAGGAAGGUGUGUUGUUUUUGCCUCCCAAGGAACGCCACGAGUGGGACGGAGUGUUUGGGCGCUGGAGUAGGGCGAAGCAGAUGAGAGCAAUUGUGGAGUCGCUAAGCGAAUUGGAGGAUUUGAAAACGGCCACUGGAACAGGUUUGCCAAAGGGAAGUUUAUGGGAAGAAGUCGUACUCACUCGUGUCUGUUGUACGAAGGUGCCGUAGGGAAAUAGUGACAUUGUGGAACAACGAAGACAUUUCUGGGCGUCUGUACGAAGCUGGGGAGAGAAAGAGAGCGGGAGAAGAUUAGUCUUACGAAGACUGUGAGUACAUUGGAUUGCUUAGAUUGUUGUUUAUAUCUGGAUGAGAAAGAGAGCGGGAGAAGAUCAGUAUCACGAAGACUGUGAGUACAUUGGAUUGCUUACAUAUCAUUGCUCAUACUUGGAUAUGGAUAACUAAUACCUGUUGGAGUGAUUAACAGCUUGUUGAGCGGCCCCAUCGUUGGAGGACGAGACGAGUGGGUGAGCCGAAGUAGAGCGUGGGUGAAUGGUUGUUAUUUGGCUGUGGCCACACCGUAAAGUUUGGAGCACUUACCGUGACAGCGACUGCAAACUCCUCCAGGACGAAAUCCGACCGGGCGUGGAGUACCGACCUUAAAAAUCACUGAAGUGUGUGUAGUGCAGUGGGUGAGUCUGUCUUUGACGUGUGUACACCAAAGCUUUGCAGUGCUGUGCCGUGUCCCUGUUGUCUGUACUCGCCCUCCAGGCCGAGAAAAGUUGCUGUUGGAGAGAACGUAGGCUGCCGUGGCGGUGCCCACCUAUUCCACUUACGCCCGCCUAUAACUCCGUUCUCCGGACCCAGCUCGAAGGUGAAGUGUGAAAGCAAAACAAGGUAUUGUGCGGAUAUUGUGGGGAAAGCUACUGACCUUGAAUACGCCCUGUAAAGCCCAGCGUGAAGAUACAGUUACUUGUUGAAUACUUACCUGUCUGUACGAGCUAAAAGCUAUUGCCCUUGAAUACGCCCUGUAAGCCCAGCGUGAAGAUACAGCCACUUGUUGAAUACUUACCUCUCUGUACGAGCUAAAAGCUGCUGACCUUGAAUACGCCCUGUAAAGCCCAGUGUGAAGAUACAGCUACUUGUUGAAUACUUACCCGCCUGCACGAGUUAAAAGCCAUUGCUCUGGAACCCGCUCAGUAAGUCUAGUGUGAAGAGUCAGUCACCUUGCUCAAUAUCUAUCUGUGAUACGAGUAAAAAGUUACUCGCUUCUGAUAUACCGGUGGACAUCCAGGGGCAUGGCCUAGUUACCUUACCGUUGUUCCUUACCUGUGCCCUCAGGGAUUUGGGUGUUACCAAUAUCUACCUAGGAGGUCUAUGGGAGUGGAGGAGCUGUCCAGACGCUGGUGAAGUACAACCCAAAGAGCAAAGAAGCUAGGAACCAGGCAUUCUUCGUUUUACCCAUUACUCAUUGUGUGUUCUUGUUGCCUUCAGGAGAAGAGAAGGGCGCCACGGGAAAUCAAGCAGUUAAGGAAGGACUUAGGAUUAGUCAGGAGACUGGUGGAAGUUCUGGGAAAGGACGGAAGAGCCCUUGCCCCCCCCCCUCCCCUGGUGAUUACUUACCAAAGACCUCCAGAGUUCUCAGGCCCAGUCCCCUCCUGUCAAGAGACGAAAAUCAAAGUUUUAGAUUCCCCUUUUCUCC